CUCCUGGGCCAGGGCCCUUCCUCUCCCCCAGACCCCUAGAGCCUCCCCGCCGUGACUCUGCACACGGAGACCCUCCCUGUCCUCUGGGUACAUAUAUGCUCUGCUGGCGUGGUGUCCUGCAAUUUAAUGCCAUCCUGAAAGCCUCCUUCUGAAAGCUGUGCCUUAUCCCCAACACACAUCUCUUGGUCUUUGGAAUACCUACGCCAUGGUCCUUAAACCUGAUUGCUUAUAGAACCACCUGGGGAGUUUUUACUAUCCAUAUGUCUAGGCCAUGGCCAAAACCAACUGAAUCAGUAUCCCUUGGGUUGAACCUAGGGCUUCAUAUCUUUUGAAGCCCCCUCAGCGAUUCCAAAUGUGUAGGCAAGCUUUAGAGUCACUGGUCUAGCCCUGCUUGAAACCUCCCGGAUGGAACCAAGUGUGCCCUGCCUUGAGCCACAUCUGACCAUUUUAUACUCCCCACAUUAGAAAAUGAGCCACUUUAGGAUCAGGAACUGUGUUCAUUUCAUCUUUGUCUCCCUGCAAAUGCUUUUUUUAAAGUUGUACUCUGCCUCUCAUUAGUAACCAUUCCACUAAGAUCCUUUUCCAAUACUUUUCCUGUGGAUGGAAAUGUCAUGCCUCGGGAAGUUUUAACAAUUUCUUAGAUUUCACAUCAUUUUUAUUAAUUAAUUACUUUGACCAUCAUAAUUUAUUUAGCAGGUCAGGGAUUGGGUCCUGUCCCAUCUCAGAGAGCUUCUUUUCAUUGCGAAAGGUCACAAGGGUAGUGAAAGUAUAGAGGCAGAUGGAACCCAGCUCUCCUGACAAGCCCUUUCCUCCAAGACCAUCGUCCUUCGAAGACUUGAUAGGUGUGGCAGCUCCAGCAAACGGUCUCAUUCGAGUCGCAACCCCUCUCCCCCCAAAAAGACUUUUAAUACUAAUACUAAUAUGUUAGGUUUGUCUCACAGCAUUUAGAGAUGACUGCAAUGAGAGAUAAAGCCAACUACUCUUCGUGAGAGACCUCUCGCACUGCUGCUGGGUCCCGAAAGGAAACCGAAAGCAGCCUGCGCGGAUGCUUGCCUAACCCGAGGCGCGGCCCCGCUGCACCCUCAGAAGAUCAACCAACCCCUAACUCUGGUUUAAAGGAAAUAGAAGUUGUUCGUGGAUAUAAAAGCAGAAUAAAGGCUCUUAUGGGCAGGUUGGGACAGGAGUGAGCUGCAUUCAGGCUUCUGGUCCUCACACUGCUCGGCAAUUACAUCUGCAGGCUGCGAAAAUGCAGACCUGCUUGGGUCCGCGGAAAUUCCGAGUCGGUAGGUCUGACGAGAGAUGUGGAAUUCGAUUUAUUUUAAACCGCCCCUGGAUUGAUCCUGAGUUCGGAGCUGCUGCUUCCAGCCCACCCCGCUGCGGGGCCCACCGUUAGAUUCUAGGAUCUAAGUACACUUCUACAGCCUCGCGUCGCCCCCAGGAAGGAAAGCGCCCGCUGCGGAACUGGCCUUUAAAUCCGGUCCUUCCUGCCCGAAUGAAAAGCAGAGAUCCAGAAAACAAAAACAAAAAACCACCGAGGUUCUGCCACGUUCAGGGAGGAAACUACUUUAGACCCAGUGUGACUUCCUUCAAAGACUGGGGUGACUGCCUGAAAUGAUACGAUAACAGUGGAGCUGGGCAACGCUUCAUCAUUUACAAAACGCCCGGGUGAGCAUCGACUUGGGCGUCGGUACCAGACCGGUGGAGGUGAGUCAGGUGUGUUCGUGUGUUUGAAUAUGCAGGGGAUAAGCCCUAAAGGAGAGAGUGGAAAAAGCAGGGAGGAAGGGAAGGGGGAAAGGGUUGAAGAAAGGAAAAGAGAAGAAAAAGGGAGAAAAAAGCUACGGGGAAAUAAACUUUUAGCGAU
Aethalodelphis obliquidens (Pacific white-sided dolphin) is the source of this 1861-nucleotide long non-coding RNA. RefSeq lists it as uncharacterized. The transcript is spliced from 2 exons. Lineage: Eukaryota; Metazoa; Chordata; Mammalia; Artiodactyla; Delphinidae. The record is from RefSeq and is a predicted model, not a curated record.